Molecule: ribosomal RNA, 501 nt
Filed under: uncultured Desulfobulbus sp.
Lineage: Bacteria; Pseudomonadati; Thermodesulfobacteriota; Desulfobulbia; Desulfobulbales; Desulfobulbaceae
Description: bacterial SSU rRNA
Rfam family: Bacterial small subunit ribosomal RNA
Source: RNAcentral
GCCCGCUCAAGAAACUUAAAGGAAUUGACGGGGCCCGCACAAGCGGUGGAGUAUGUGGUUUAAUUCGAUGCAACGCGAAGAACCUUACCUGGUCUUGACAUCCCGGAGACCCUUAGGAAACUAGGGGGUGCUUCCAUCUGGAAGAAUCUGGAGACAGGUGCUGCAUGGCUGUCGUCAGCUCGUGUCGUGAGAUGUUGGGUUAAGUCCCGCAACGAGCGCAACCCUUGCCUUUAGUUGCCAGCAGUUCGGCUGGGCACUCUAAAGGGACUGCCGGUGUUAAACCGGAGGAAGGUGGGGAUGACGUCAAGUCCUCAUGGUCUUUAUGACCAGGGCUACACACGUACUACAAUGGCCGAUACAAAGGGCAGCGACACUGCGAGGUGAAGCCAAUCCCGUAAAAUCGGUCUCAGUCCGGAUUGGAGUCUGCAACUCGACUCCAUGAAGUUGGAAUCGCUAGUAAUCGUGGAUCAGCAUGCCACGGUGAAUACGUUCCCGGGCCUU